This is a long non-coding RNA of Clupea harengus (Atlantic herring), 389 nucleotides long. The record is from Ensembl. Lineage: Eukaryota; Metazoa; Chordata; Actinopteri; Clupeiformes; Clupeidae.
GUGGCUUUAAUGUUGAGCUGGUGCCGUCUCUGAUUGGUGGAGCAUGUUGAGGUGGUGCAGCCUCUGAUUGGUAGAGCAUGUUGAGGUCUCUGAUUGGUAGAGCAUGUUGAGGUGGGUAACUGCAGUCUCUGAUUGGUAGAGCAUGUUGAGGUGGUUCAGUCUCUGAUUGGUGGAGCAUGUUGAGGUCCCUGAUUGGUGGAGCAUGUUGAGGUCUCUGAUUGGUGGAGCAUGUUGAGGUCUCUGAUUGGUGGAGCAUGUUGAGGUGGGUAACUGCAGUCUCUGAUUGGUGGAGCAUGUUGAGGUCUCUGAUUGGUAGAGCAUGUUGUGUUGAGGUGGUGCAGCCUCUGAUUGGUAGAGUAGAGCAUGUUGUGUUGAGGUGGAGCAGCCUC